RNAcentral lists this ribosomal RNA (252 nucleotides) under uncultured bacterium. Its description in RNAcentral is "partial 16S ribosomal RNA". It matches the Rfam family "Bacterial small subunit ribosomal RNA", at positions 524 to 776 of the family's 1533-position model. The record is from RNAcentral.
UACGUAGGUGGCAAGCGUUAUCCGGAAUGAUUGGGCGUAGAGGGUGCGCAGGCGGAACCAUAAGUCUGAAGUAAAAGCCAUCGGCUCAACCGAUGUAAGCUUUGGAAACUGUGGAUCUGGAGUGCAGGAGAGGACAGUGGAAUUCCAUGUGUAGCGGUAAAAUGCGUAGAUGUAUGGAGGAACACCAGUGGCGAAGGCGGCUGUCUGGCCUGUAACUGACGCUGAGGCACGAAAGCGUGGGGAGCAAAUAGG